RNAcentral lists this long non-coding RNA (208 nucleotides) under Lathyrus oleraceus (garden pea). Its description in RNAcentral is "Pisum sativum (pea) long non-coding RNA (PSAT_LNC020828)". The record is from RNAcentral. Lineage: Eukaryota; Viridiplantae; Streptophyta; Magnoliopsida; Fabales; Fabaceae.
UUUCUUUAGCUGUUAUUACUUCGGAUCUUUAUCCGUGUGGUAGACCUCUUGAUCCCUUUAUCUUUCCCGCAUUUUACCGCUUUCUUAGCUGGAAGACCUCGAUAAGAGGCAAUGUUUUCUUUUGUUUGUUUACUUUUGUGCCCAAAGACCUCCAAAAGGAGGCACUAGUGCUAAAGACCUCCACGAAGAGGCAAUUGACGGAUAAAAG